Chionomys nivalis (European snow vole) is the source of this 138-nucleotide small nucleolar RNA. NCBI's taxonomy places the organism in Eukaryota, Metazoa, Chordata, Mammalia, Rodentia, Cricetidae. The record is from RefSeq and is a predicted model, not a curated record.
GUUCAGUCUGAAGGGAGAAAGUAGGAUUCAGUAUUAAGAUGCACUGGGUAAUAAACUGCUGCACCAUAGCAGUUCCUGCUGCAUAGCUUGGGCUGUCUGCCCAUCACAGGCAGCCCUUUUAACCCCCUAGCUACAAAC